CUCUUGGUCAUUUAGAGGAAGUAAAAGUCGUAACAAGGUUUCCGUAGGUGAACCUGCGGAAGGAUCAUUACUGAUUUGCUUAAUUGCACCACAUGUGUUUUUCUUUGAAACAAACUUGCUUUGGCGGUGGGCCCAGCCUGCCGCCAGAGGUCUAAACUUACAACCAAUUUUUUAUCAACUUGUCACACCAGAUUAUUACUAAUAGUCAAAACUUUCAACAACGGAUCUCUUGGUUCUCGCAUCGAUGAAGAACGCAGCGAAAUGCGAUACGUAAUAUGAAUUGCAGAUAUUCGUGAAUMAUCGAAUCUUUGAACGCACAUUGCGCCCUCUGGUAUUCCGGAGGGCAUGCCUGUUUGAGCGUCGUUUCUCCCUCAAACCGCUGGGUUUGGUGUUGAGCAAUACGACUUGGGUUUGCUUGAAAGACGGUAGUGGUAAGGCGGGAUCGCUUUGACAAUGGCUUAGGUCUAACCAAAAACAUUGCUUGCGGCGGUAACGUCCACCACGUAUAUCUUCAAACUUUGACCUCAAAUCAGGUAGGACUACCCGCUGAACUUAAGCAU
RNAcentral lists this ribosomal RNA (560 nucleotides) under uncultured Candida. RNAcentral describes it as "eukaryotic LSU rRNA". The record is from RNAcentral. Lineage: Eukaryota; Fungi; Ascomycota; Saccharomycetes; Saccharomycetales.